AUCAUUUGUGAGUUUUGUGUGCAACAAUUUCAUUUUGGAUAGUUUUGGAUUUGAUCCAGAUCAUGAUGGCCAUGAUGCAUAAUGGUUAAGGGUUAGAUAGUGAUCAAUUAUCACCAUGCCAUUUAAGAACAAAAGUGGAUAGUCGAACUGACAUAAAUGUUGGAUAUGAUGGGAGAGCUUUUCAGCAAGGUCCUAAUAAUAAUUAUACAUGUUUUUAUAAUUUACUUUUUGAUCUGGAGUUGUUCAUCAGUGUCCAUGAUUUCAAGUGCCAGACAGCAUGUACCAUUACACGUAUUCAAAGCUUGGUGUAGGUUCACUUACUACCUAGUGAGCCUCUUUUUUUUUUUUUUUUGAUACAAGCGGACACUUACACCAUUCUAGUGUGCGACCUAUUGAGCCUUCUUACUAAAACGUUAUUAAACAAAAAGGGCUUGUUCGAAUUUUUUUAUUACUUUUAUGGUUUAAGCGCAACGCAAUGCAUGCCGGCACACUGUGCCACUGGAACUUAAUUCCAUGGGCAUGCCCAUGGCCAACCUAUCUAUGAGAUAGAAUAAGAUGGAUGAAAACCUCAAAUAAUCUAGAUGCUUAUCUCUCUUCCUAUCUAGCUUAUCUCUCUCCCUCUUUAUCUUCAUCUCUCUUGGGUUCUUUUUUUGGUCACAUCUCUGUUGGCUUAUUUGUGGGAUCAAAAAGUAGCUAGGGUGGCUGGUCGCACCCUUAUAAGAUUAGUGGCUGGUCCACCCUAGUGUGGAUGCUCCUAUUCUCCUCCUAUGGGAGAAAACAGAAGAAAAAAUAGGACUAGAGGGAGGG
This 807-nucleotide long non-coding RNA is filed under the name Elaeis guineensis (African oil palm). RNAcentral's name for it is "long non-coding RNA (EGUI_LNC018488)". The record is from RNAcentral. Lineage: Eukaryota; Viridiplantae; Streptophyta; Magnoliopsida; Arecales; Arecaceae.